Molecule: unclassified non-coding RNA, 302 nt
Filed under: Hevea brasiliensis (rubber tree)
Lineage: Eukaryota; Viridiplantae; Streptophyta; Magnoliopsida; Malpighiales; Euphorbiaceae
Source: RNAcentral
AAACGACGCUGCUUCUGAGCUCCGAUCUCAGUUCCUCCAAGUCCUUCGGAGCCGUCGUCCUUCUGAAGUUCCACUAUCUGUAAUACCUGGAAAACCUGUGAAGGAUCCGUUCUUUCAGGAAUCUCCAAAGCCAACCUUCAGUGAGGCAAUGGCAUCAUGCCCGAAGGAAGAUAUACCCAAUUCUAAUGAACUGCUUCAAGAGGAAAAUUUCUACCUGACUACUGAGGAAGGAGGGCAAGGGAUCUUGCCUGUAUUGGUAUUGAGCAUGAAAGAAAGUGAAAAGAAAAGGAGGCCCACUAUUG